UACGGGGGGGGCAAGCGUUGUUCGGAAUUACUGGGCGUAAAGGGCGCGUAGGCGGCCUUCUAAGUCAGACGUGAAAUCCCCCGGCUUAACCUGGGAACUGCGUCUGAUACUGGAGGGCUUGAGUGCGGGAGAGGGAUGUGGAAUUCCAGGUGUAGCGGUGAAAUGCGUAGAUAUCUGGAGGAACACCGGUGGCGAAGGCGGCAUCCUGGACCGACACUGACGCUGAGGCGCGAAAGCUAGGGUAGCAAACGGG
Molecule: ribosomal RNA, 253 nt
Filed under: uncultured bacterium
Lineage: Bacteria
Description: partial 16S ribosomal RNA
Rfam family: Bacterial small subunit ribosomal RNA
Source: RNAcentral